RNAcentral lists this ribosomal RNA (211 nucleotides) under uncultured bacterium. RNAcentral's name for it is "partial 16S ribosomal RNA". It matches the Rfam family "Bacterial small subunit ribosomal RNA", at positions 524 to 731 of the family's 1533-position model. The record is from RNAcentral.
UACGAAGGGGGCUAGCGUUGCUCGGAAUUACUGGGCGUAAAGCGCACGUAGGCGGCUUUCUAAGUCGGGGGGUGAAAUCCUGGAGCUCAACUCCAGAACUGCCUUCGAUACUGGAGAGCUUGAGUCCGGGAGAGGUGAGUGGAACUGCGAGUGUAGAGGUGAAAUUCGUAGAAUUAUUCGCAAGAACACCAGUGGCGAAAGGCGGCCUCAG